CCUAACACAUGCAAGUCGAACGGUAACAGGAAGAAGCUUGCUUCUUUGCUGACGAGUGGCGGACGGGUGAGUAAUGUCUGGGAAACUGCCUGAUGGAGGGGGAUAACUACUGGAAACGGUAGCUAAUACCGCAUAACGUCGCAAAACCAAAGAGGGGGACCUUCGGGCCUCUUGCCAUCGGAUGUGCCCAGAUGGGAUUAGCUAGUAGGUGGGGUAACGGCUCACCUAGGCGACGAUCCCUAGCUGGUCUGAGAGGAUGACCAGCCACACUGGAACUGAGACACGGUCCAGACUCCUACGGGAGGCAGCAGUGGGGAAUAUUGCACAAUGGGCGCAAGCCUGAUGCAGCCAUGCCGCGUGUAUGAAGAAGGCCUUCGGGUUGUAAAGUACUUUCAGCGGGGAGGAAGGGAGUAAAGUUAAUACCUUUGCUCAUUGACGUUACCCGCAGAAGAAGCACCGGCUAACUCCGUGCCAGCAGCCGCGGUAAUACGGAGGGUACAAGCGUUAAUCGGAAUUACUGGGCGUA
Molecule: ribosomal RNA, 526 nt
Filed under: uncultured bacterium
Lineage: Bacteria
Description: bacterial SSU rRNA
Rfam family: Bacterial small subunit ribosomal RNA
Source: RNAcentral